RNAcentral lists this long non-coding RNA (356 nucleotides) under Nicotiana benthamiana. RNAcentral's name for it is "long non-coding RNA (NBEN_LNC016983)". Lineage: Eukaryota; Viridiplantae; Streptophyta; Magnoliopsida; Solanales; Solanaceae. The record is from RNAcentral.
UUAAGAUUUGACAGACUCAUUUCUGUCUUCUUCUUCUCUCAACCCUUUUAGGAUUUUCUUCUGCUAUUUUCUGCCAUAUCUAUCGAGCUUUGAGCUUUUCAUGGUAUCAAAGUGGGAAAAUCAGAGUGGGAAUAUAGUUUUUCAUUGUAUCAAAGUUGGUUUUCAGAAUAUGUUCGUGAAAUUUCGCGGUCUCAUUCAAUCUUCGCGUAUUCUCGACAACUAUUGAUAGAAUCGUCCAUAAUCUUCAAGCUACACGGUAGUUUCUACAGGAUUUUUUCUACCUAGGGUUCAUGGCUAAACAAGACCUCUCUUCUUCAGGUUUUCAGAAGAAGGACGGUAUCACUGUCACAGCUCAC